GCCGCCAUUCCUCUGCGAGCUGUAUGCGGACAUGGGGAAGUUGGAAGGGGAGGCAGGAGGCGAGUUUCUGGAACUCGUGCAAUAAUCCGGCCAAGGCUGAAGGUCUGCCCAAAGAUUGAACCGCUUAAUCUAUGACCAGUUUGAGGAGCUCAGAUCCAAGGAGAGGAGAAAGCAUCACUUUCACUAAUGGCUUGCUAGUGCAGAAAUGAACAGCAGUGCUCACAAGAACCCAGCUGAGGACCUACCACCCUUGAUGCUCUCCAGGCGAACAGGGAGGCCUGACUGCGCAGCAGACAA
Molecule: long non-coding RNA, 297 nt
Organism: Scleropages formosus (Asian bonytongue)
Lineage: Eukaryota; Metazoa; Chordata; Actinopteri; Osteoglossiformes; Osteoglossidae
Exons: 3
Source: RefSeq, a predicted model, not a curated record